RNAcentral lists this long non-coding RNA (456 nucleotides) under Nicotiana benthamiana. RNAcentral's name for it is "long non-coding RNA (NBEN_LNC006467)". Lineage: Eukaryota; Viridiplantae; Streptophyta; Magnoliopsida; Solanales; Solanaceae. The record is from RNAcentral.
UUGAACAAAACACAAUCCAGGUUGAGAUUGAUACCUAAGAUAGGUUCUGAAGGUUCUAACACCCUAAACACACAUGCUUCAAGUUAUCUUCAUCUUAUAUGGAUAGGAUUCUGAUUAUCUGGAAGUUUUUUAGGAGAUUUUUUCCAGGAUUUUUAGAAUAUGAGAUCUUGGAAUAUUUUCAAGGAUUUUCUAGAUGGAGUCCAAACUUUUGAAAGCAGUAAGAUGCCUUUUUAUAGCCAAAGCCUUGGGGCAACUCUCUUUUUGUGUUUUCUCAUUAGUCCUUUUCCUAUUUCUUAGAAUUGUUAAAUUAGUCCGUCCUUUUCUAACUUGUACCUCAUGUUUAUUAGAAAAAUUACCAGAAAAUAGCUUUUGAACCUCCAACUAGAAGGUUCCAGGGGCCUAUUGCAAGAUUCUCAUACCCAAAUAUCCCUAUUACCCUUGUCUUUUCUUUUCAAU